Penaeus monodon (black tiger shrimp) is the source of this 726-nucleotide long non-coding RNA. RefSeq lists it as uncharacterized. The transcript has 3 exons. NCBI's taxonomy places the organism in Eukaryota, Metazoa, Arthropoda, Malacostraca, Decapoda, Penaeidae. The record is from RefSeq and is a predicted model, not a curated record.
ACAACGUGCCUGUGCACAAGAACAAAGAGGCCAUGAAGAGAGUGGUGUCCUGCGGCUUCGAAUGGUUGCUCCAUCCCCCUUAUUCCCCCGAUCUGGCGACCUCUGAUCACACUUAAAGCAGCUAGGGGUAUCAGUGAUGACGAGGAUACCAAAGAGAAGGUCAAGGAAGUUUUGGAGGGAUUCAACUUGCCAUUCUCCAGGGAUGUAUUUUCGCAAUUGGAGAUGAAUUGCAUUACGGUCAAAGGCGAUUACGCUGAUUUAAAAAAAAAAACUUUGGACCCAUACUCAACAAUAUCAUCGGGACCCAGGCGUCGAUUCCGAAUAAAAUCUCCAAUAUGGCGGCUGGACGUGAACAAAUACUAAUAGUUAUUGUCGAAGAAAAUGGUAGAGGCACCAGACAUUAGUAUUUGCGACUCUUGCAACCGAUUAAUGACCACGAAUGGCGAACUUGGUCGUGCACAAUAUGCGGGGGGGGGGGGGGUCUGAGGAAAUUUUCCUAAGUGUGGCCAUUCGGCUAACUGAAUGCUGUAGAACUUUUUAAAAAAUGUAGAAGUUAUGGAAAUUCGUAUAUAGUGAUUCGUUUGCAAUUUAUGACUAAUACUGGUCCUAAAAUUUAAAUCUCGCUAUGUGACGAAGGCAAAUACAUUCGUGAAUUCGGUCUAGAAAACAGGCAAUGGCAAUUGGAAUACUUGGAGUUAUAAAUCAAUAAAUAUUAUAAACAUCCAA